This is a long non-coding RNA of Cercocebus atys (sooty mangabey), 1740 nucleotides long. RefSeq lists it as uncharacterized. The transcript has 3 exons. The record is from RefSeq and is a predicted model, not a curated record. NCBI's taxonomy places the organism in Eukaryota, Metazoa, Chordata, Mammalia, Primates, Cercopithecidae.
CGCAAAUACGGAAAGUUGCCCUCCCUCUGCGUGCGUUUCGCAUCCUCCAGCUGCUGUGUUUUCGACCCACGUUUGAAAAAAAAAUCUGGAGGAAGAAGAUGAUUCCAAAAACAUGGUCAUCUACCGCUGUCCCAUUCUUCGACACCGCUUUUGCAUCUACAAAUGCACGCUGCUAUGCAGAAAUCAGGUGAAAGUUUUAUUUAAAGGGUUGGGUUAAGAUAGCAUGGCUGAUUUGCGUUUUUAAAAAAUUUAUUGUUCCAUGGCCAAGAUAAAGAGGACUUUUCAUGGGGAAAGGCUUAAAGGUAGUAUGGACUUUACCUUAUUCCUUCAAACUGAAUUUUAGUUAUAAAAUCUAAAAACACUGUGAUGCUUACUUGCCAUUUGGAGGCACCAAUCUGACAUCUUUGAUGGAAGCAGUAAGAAUAAAUUUGAAAGAACACACCCAUCAUCAACAUAUUUUUAAAAACCCUUUUAUUUGGUAUAAAGGCUACAUCAACAGUCAAACUCAUCCAUGACAAUAUUUCAACAAACUAUAUUCAUAGAUGCUGAGUAACAACAAGAUAUAUCUACAUUCCAUCUGUUUUCUGCAGGAAAGCAAAUAUCCUGAUCAGAAGUGACACACACAAUGAUCUAGGUUCAUCGCAGAGACACCCAAAGUGUCACAAAGGAACCACCUACCAAAGUAUGUUUUUGUUUGUUUCUAGGAUAAGCUAACCAUGGUGAUGGGGGUGCCUCCUGGAUAGAAGGAACUGCAUCUGCAAACUCCCAAGGAGGAGGCACCAGAACCUCUUGGAUCUGCUGGGAAGACGGGCUGUAGGAAGGGGGUGGGAGGAACAGAUGGAGAGUCACCUCCCCUGAACUCCACUUUCUUUCAAGAACACAGCACAGCAGAGUGCAAAGGAUGUGGGCUUCAAAGUCACAGAAAUGGGCUCAGGUUCUGAUUCUUGCUCACAUAUGUGUGAACUUGGGCAAGACAACUUCUUUGAGCCCAGUUUCUUCAUGUCUAAAAUGACAGGAGUAUGUACAACCUCAGAGGUUUCAUAAACAUUACAUAAGAGAGCAUUAUCCAAUCCUGGAGAAUGUCUGGGGCAUCAGAAUUUGGUGACUUGUUCACAGCUGCAUAGAAAAUCUAUAGUUAGAAGUGGACUGAAAUAUCCUGAAUUAGUAAGUUUCCAUGUGACCAGCACUCAGAACAGUGGGUGAGGGCUCAGUCCAGUGGAGUCGGAUUCAGACCUGUGCGUGAGGGCCCCUGCUGCUGCCUGAGGCAUGGUACCUGUGCUGUUAGGAUGGUAUAUAAGUGUGGCUGGCUGGGAUAUGCUAGGGCUAUGAAUUCAUAGCCCUAGUUAAGAACAGUGUAUGUUUUGCUCACCUGACCCUUCCCUAAAACCAUGGGGACAUUUCAAGGCUGCUUUCUCUGAUAUUUUUGCCACUAUUGUAAUGCAGUCCAUUAGGCAGAGUGCUUGAGACACUGUCUUAGUCCAUGUGUGCUCCUAGAACAAUAUAUCAUACACUGGUAGCUUAUAAACAACAGGAACAUAUUCCUCAGUUCUGGAGGCUGGAAGUCCAAUAUCAAGGCAGACUGGGUGUUUGGUGAGGGCCCGCCCUCCUCACCAAUGGCGCUUUCUCACCGAGUCCUCACAUGGGGCCCGCCCUCCUCAUAGAUGGCGCUUUCUCACCGAGUCCUCACGUGGGGACUGCUUUCUUCAUCGAUGGCGCUUUCUCCCCGAGUCCUCACGUGAG